This 373-nucleotide small RNA is filed under the name Candidatus Ishikawaella capsulata Mpkobe. RNAcentral describes it as "cspA thermoregulator". It matches the Rfam family "cspA thermoregulator", at positions 92 to 428 of the family's 428-position model. The record is from Rfam by way of RNAcentral. Lineage: Bacteria; Pseudomonadati; Pseudomonadota; Gammaproteobacteria; Enterobacterales; Enterobacteriaceae.
AUAAAAAAAUUAUAUUUUUUUUAAAUCAUGCUGGACAAAUGUUACAGUAACUGCUGUACUAUUCAUCGACACAUUUCAGUGUUUAUUUUCAUGUAAAAAUAAUAGGUAAUAUAGAUGUCUUCUUCUAAGAAAAAAGGUAAUGUUAAGUGGUUUAAUGAAUCUAAAGGAUUCGGUUUUAUUACACCUGAAGAUGGUAGUAAAGAUGUUUUCGUACAUUUUUCUGCUAUUCAAGGUCAAGGAUUUAAAACUCUUGCUGAGGGUCAGUCAGUAGAGUUUGAAAUUACCGAAGGUGCCAAAGGUCCUUCUGCUGCUAAUGUUACCAGCCUGAAUUAAUAAUCAGGCAGAAAAACCCGCUGAAAGCGGGUUUUUUGUU